UUCGCAGACCAAAGAGGGGGGACCUUUCGGGCCUCUUGCCAUCAGAAUGUGCCCAGAUGGGAAUUAAGCUUAGUAGGUGGGGUAAACGGCUUCACCUAGGCGAACGAUCCCUAGCUUGGUCUUGAGAGGAUGACCAGCCACACUGGAACUGAGACACGGUCCAGACUCCUACGGGAGGCAGCAGUGGGGAAAUAUUUGCACAAUGGGCGCAAGCCUGAUGCAGCCAUGCCCGCGUGUAUGAAAGAUAGGCCUUUCGGGUUGUAAAGUACUUUCAGCGGGGAGGAUAGGUGUUGUGGUUAAUAACCACAGCAAUUUGACGUUACCCGCAGAAGAAGCACCGGCUAACUCCGUGCCAGCAGCCGCGGUUA
RNAcentral lists this ribosomal RNA (368 nucleotides) under Enterobacter cloacae. RNAcentral's name for it is "bacterial SSU rRNA". It matches the Rfam family "Bacterial small subunit ribosomal RNA", at positions 193 to 523 of the family's 1533-position model. Lineage: Bacteria; Pseudomonadati; Pseudomonadota; Gammaproteobacteria; Enterobacterales; Enterobacteriaceae. The record is from RNAcentral.